AGUUAUUUCCGUAGGGUACAGAGGUAAGAUGUUCUAUCUUUCAGACCUUUUACUUCACGUAAUCGGAUUUGGCUGAAUAUUAGCCGCCCCGCUCAGUUUUCUGAGCGGGGCGUUUUUUA
Lonsdalea quercina is the source of this 119-nucleotide small RNA. The record is from Rfam. NCBI's taxonomy places the organism in Bacteria, Pseudomonadati, Pseudomonadota, Gammaproteobacteria, Enterobacterales, Pectobacteriaceae.